UGAUAAGUCCGUAAACACUACAAACUCAUGCACGAUUGCCAAAAACAGACUUACCAGGUGGUUAAAAUUGCCCCACCGUGGGAGGUCGAUCUUUCUUUUUUUCUUUUUCCUCUUUUUUCGAUUAAUGCAGAAUAUAAAAACGACCAUUACUUGUAGCUUUUCUACAUGGAAAAUCCAAAUGGCGUCCCCUAAAGUCUGUUGAGAUGAGUUGAUGAUCUCAAGUCACAUGCAGAAAGCUCAAAACAUCAAUAACGUACAAGCUCUUAUAACGGCGAGACCCAAAAAUAAAGUUUUAACUUGGCAUAUCUUAGAUACAAAAAAUAAAGUUUAACAUAGCAUAUCUUAGAUACAAAUUAUCUUCUUCCAUUUCGAGAUCAAAUUUAUGAGACCAACUCAAAAAGAGUGUGUCCCAUCCCCUAUACAAUUCUGUAAAAAUCCCAAUGUUACACCACCAAACCCCCCAAAAUCUUCAAACCCCCAAAGACAUACCUAUCCUUAUACCAUUGUACACAUCAUAUUUGCAGAAUAAGUUAUCAAAUCCAUAUCCCCAAAAACAAAAAUGAAGAGAAUUCAUGCACAAACCCUUUACUGCACUUCACAGCAAGAGAUCUCACUUCUGCCCAUUGACCUCAAGUUAUUCUCCUCCAAUUACAGUAAACCACUAAUCAGCACAGAUACUAAAAUGCUCUUGCUGCCUCUUUAAAAGCAGUCACUAAAUAAUAUGAAAUCUGCAAAAGCAUUUUCUCCUAAUCCUCUCGUUCUAAAUUUGUACACUUGAAUAUAUACGCAGGGGUUAGCACCCACAGCCACCAUCAUUUUAGGCUGAGGGCCAUCUCCUACAGACACAAUGUUAACUUUUAUCUGACUUCUCACCGUAGCCAUCCAUUGUAGGGCUUCCUGGUGGAUCUCCAGAGUGUGAGCCAUCUGACUGAUGAAAGUGGAUGUUCAAACUGCUAGAGGGCAAAUGCUCGAAGACAAUCUGAUCACCUGCUUCCUGCCCCUCUGAGUGGAACAGAAUUGGGCGGCAGCGCUUAUCUUCAUUCAUUAAGCUUGAAUUCUGGAAGUGGUUCACAAGGGCUGCCUUUCCCUGGAUUCGAGCAUAUGCCAGAGAAGCAACUUUCUCACUGUUAAAUUUCUCCCACUUCUUACCAUUAAAUGCCUGCACAAAAUUAAAAACAUAAAUAGAUCCAUAAAAUAUAUAUUGUAAAUAAUUCCUCCUAAAUUUGAGGUAUAACAUGAAACAUCAUUUUUAUAACUGAAACUAAGACUUCCAAUGAAAAAUACUGGCUUGACUAGAUACUCCACUGCUUUGCAAGGCAGUGAAAUACAAACCCAGAGAAUAAACAAUUAAAUCCUGAAACAAGGAAAACAAAACCUCAUAAAAUGGAAUGAUGUGUGAAGGAGACAGCAUGUUGAUAAAUGCAUAACCCACAUUGCAUUUAUUCUUAAAAUCAAUUGGUAAAUAUAGAAAAUCAUAAGUGCCCUUGUGAUUUUCAUCAAUGGCAGCUAGCAACAUCUUUGAGGUGUAUCUAGGGGAUGAGAUCAGAACAGGGAGAAAAUAAGACUGAUCUUUUAACAUGAUAAUGACUGGAUAUUGACAAAUGGAAAUUAUAAAGAGAGUUAUUACUUGUUUGGGAUAUUUUUUAUCAUUAAGGUUGUCCGAGUGUCUUCCCCACUGAUAAUUUUAUCCAAGUCGAGCUGAAACUGUUUCUUGCUAUCUACUUGGUUACCAUUAUUCUCAACCCGUCGGCUCCGCCCGCGCUCAGUAAAACCUUCCAUUGUGGUAGCUGCCAAUCCAGGGUAUGGGCCAUUACCUAAAAAUACAUGAUUUAGCCUUGGCGAAGACAUCAUUCUGUAACUUGAAGAACCAUUUUCAGAAAUUUUUCUUGGAAUGGUAACACCAGCAUUCAUCGGAGUACGAUUGCCCAUAUUCAUAAUGAAAUUUCCAUCAUUGUGGCCUAAACCCAUGCCUCCAUAUGCAACACGACUCAUGUAUGAAGUUUCUGGUGACUCAGGGAAAAAUCCAAAGUGCCCCUCCAAAGGAACUCCAGAUGGAGCAGAACCAACAUGAUGAUGGUUCUGGGAUGAGCCAAGGAAAGAACCAUGCCGACCCAUGUAUGAAAAGCCAUGACCCUUCCCAUUGGAUGAAAAUGGAUGGCCCAAAGAUGUUGUCCAGGCAGAUGAAGUGGCAUGAUCUGGGUACAGAUUAGGACUUCCCCAAAGAAACUGUGGCCCUGAUAAUGUUUCCAUAACAGAUCCAUUAGAUGUUGAAGGGCCACCAAAAGGAGACAUACUUCCAGGGUAUUGAUUCAGCUUUGACUCAGGCAAUGAAUGUGAUUGUGGUAAUGUAGCUCCAUGGGCUGAAUUCAUGUUUGUAAAUGUAUGAUCCACAAGACUACCCCUUCCUUGGUCUUUGCCGAUAGGUGCAACUUUCACAGAGUUUGAUCCUUGAGAAUGAAGAAUUGAAGCCAGCCCAGGUAAAUGGUUGCCAGUUGUAGGGCUCAAAUUCCUGAAAACAGGGGAUUUGCUGAUACUUUGCAAUGGACUAUGACUAUGUUCAGUAGAAUUGUUGAACUGUGCCCAGCUACCUGGUGGAGAGUUGGUUACUGGUGAACCCACUGGAGGCCGGAAACUCCGGGAUUCAUCUUGUUCAAGCUCUUGAUUCAGUUGCAACAUCAAGUUUCGCCGCGCUCCACCGGGACGGCUAGGUUCAAGCUUUAUGCGCUUACCAGCUAUGUCACUUCUAUUUAAUGACUUAAGAGCUGCUUCAGCAGCUCUAACAUCAUAAAACUCAAUAAACUUAUGGUGCCUCUUGUGUGGUGUUUCCCUUAUCUGCUAUUGUACAAUAAAAUACCAAUUUGCACAAAUGUCAAACCAAUUAUUGCAGAAAGAAGCAUGGGUAAAAAAGUAAAGGAGCAAUCCAAGGAGAAACUUAUCACCUCUUUGACCUCACCAUAAGCCCCAAAUAUUUGCCGGAGGUCUUCAUUUGAGACUGAUGGAUCCAGAUUGAAAACAACUAGAGUUCCUUGAUUAAUAUCCUUGUCUGAUGGAUUGUCCUUUGGAAUUGAGUAGUGAAUAUCAAGUUUCCUCCGUCGUAGAGGUUUGUUUUGCAAUGCACGCAUAGCAGUUCGAGCCGCGCGGAUAUCAUAAUAAGAUAUCAUCACAAAACCCCUGUGUUUACAUGCAGUGUAGAGAGUUCUAAUGUUGCCAUAUUGCUACAAAACAAACAGUUAGCAAGAAUAAAACAACAUUAUUUGGAUGAAGCAAUGAAUACUAUUAAUAUCUUGAUUACAGUUUCAAGCAGGUUAAGAGAUCAACAACUUGUAAAUUCAAAAACUGAAUACCAAUUUCUAUAAAUUUUACACAGUACCAACUUAUAAAGCAAUUAUGACAACCACACUGUGCUAUUCUUACUUUCAGUUCUCAGUAGACAAUGUUUUACUUUGGAGAACUUGAGAAUUUUCUAAUGAGACAAGUCAUAGUCAUCUAAUUACAUGGUCCCAUUAGUUCCUGUGAUUCACUGCAUUUGCAUAAGUGACAAGUUUCAUAUAGGGUUUUUAUACAACUUUAAAUAAAUCAUUUUUUUGGACAUGCAGAUUAUAAUAAAGGUUAAAUACUCAAACUUGUGUCGAUGUCAAGUUAAUAACAUGAUGUAUCCUAACUCAUGUAGAGCCAAUUGUUUUGUUUUUUGAUUUUGUUCACAAGUUCUAUCCAAUUUUUGCAUACGCAUACCACAUUAAAUUUCAUUCAAACAAAUUUGAUGUCUGAAAUUUGCAAAAGAUUGCUUACUUCUGAUACAUGGAACUGACAUCAAGCUUUAUACCCAGCCAACUAAAACAAGGUGCAUAAACAAAUAUGGAUACCACAAAUUGAAUUACCUCAAAGAGAGUUCUUAGUUCUAUGUCUUCGACAUUACUAUUAAUAUUCCGAACAAAUAAUGUUCUUGAAGGAUGUUCACCAUAAGGAUGUUCUCCAGCAACUGUUCCCACACCAUUUGAAAGACCGUAAUGAGGCAUCCCAUUCCCAAUGAUGCCAUCAGAGAUAUUUACCUUUGAGAUGCCCAUGCUCAGGCUCUCUUGAGGAUCACUUUCAAGUUCCAUACCUCCUCCACUACCAAAAAGAUCAUAAUCUUCCAAGUCCUCCAGUGAACCAGGCAGUCUACUUAGGUCAAAAUCUUCCAUUAUGCCAGCUAAAAGCUCAUCCUCAUCAUCAGGAAGCAAACUUCCGAUUGCAUGAGUUUCAACAUCUUCAAGUAAAUCACCACCCUCCACAUCUGCAUCUUGAUGAAGUUUAUCCAAACCAGAUGAGGCAUCAUCAACAGAUUGACGGCUACAUUCCGUAUCAUUCAAAUUCAACUCUUCAUGUGUAAGAACUGGUAAUGAGCUAGAAAAAAGUGUAGUGUCACUUGGAGUAUGGUAUAUGUCAGAUCCAGAUAAAAUUUCCAAUGCACUGCUUCCCACUUCCUCAGGUAUAUUAACUGGAGGAUUCUUCGCAGGAGCCGGAGAAAAAAUAUUCGACGACUGCUUCAUUGCAUCAACUUCUACUGAAUGAGUUCAAGAAAAUCAAAGCAAAGAUUACGUGAACCACGACCAAUUGAGCUCUUCACGAUCACGCAUAGAGAGAGAAGAAGCAGACGCAGAAGCAGAAGAAGAAGGAAGAGACGUGAAGGGAGAGAAUUAGUAGUGUGCACUUCCUUAUUACUGCUCUGCCUACAAGCUUUCUCUCUCUGAUUGGAGAGAAGGUGAUGAUUGGACGAGAGAAGUAAAAAGAGCAGAGAAUGAUUGAGAGAGAAAUAGGGAGAGAGAUUAUAGUUGCGAAUGCGGGUUCCGAUUUAAC
RNAcentral lists this unclassified non-coding RNA (4836 nucleotides) under Hevea brasiliensis (rubber tree). The record is from RNAcentral. Lineage: Eukaryota; Viridiplantae; Streptophyta; Magnoliopsida; Malpighiales; Euphorbiaceae.